ACUCCUACGGGAGGCAGCAGUGGGGAAUCUUAGACAAUGGGGGCAAGCCCUCGAUCUAGCCAUGCCGCGUGAGUGAUGAAGGCCCUAGGGUUGUAAAGGCUUCUUUCAGCUAGGGAAGAUAAUGACGGUACCAGCAGAAGAAGCCCCGGCUAACUCCGUGCCAGCAGCCGCGGUAAUACGGAGGGGCUAGCGUUGUUCGGGAAUUACUGGGCGUAAAGCGCACGUAGGCGGAUUGGAAAGUUAGAGGUGAAAUCCCAGGGCUCAACCUUGGAACAUG
Molecule: ribosomal RNA, 277 nt
Filed under: uncultured bacterium
Lineage: Bacteria
Description: partial 16S ribosomal RNA
Rfam family: Bacterial small subunit ribosomal RNA
Source: RNAcentral